AAAAAAAACAAUGAAUUCAAUGUUCACAUUCUUCUAAAUCAAAUAUGGAAAUAAAUUUCUGCUCCAACAAAGACAAAACAGCGCCUCCUCUCAAUGAAAAUCAAAGUGCUUCUCGGUUUCAUUCAUCCCAUAUCUCUGCUCCAAGAGAACCCCAUGAAAAAAAAAUGUUGCCAACCUUCUCCCCUAAAACAGUGUUCCUGACCAAAUGCUCUCCAAAAUGAUGGUUGGAAGCUCCUCCUUUAUUCCUAAGACCAUGUGCCAACCUUAAAGGAUCGGUGGGGUCCACCCUAAAAAUAAAAGGAAACCCUAGGUCAAGUGUCCUACAAUUUUGGGUUCCUCAUAAUUUUUAACAAUGGCCCAAUGUGCAAAAGUUUGUCCAAAAAGUUUAAACAAUUAAAUU
This 400-nucleotide long non-coding RNA is filed under the name Vigna radiata. RNAcentral describes it as "long non-coding RNA (VRAD_LNC005184)". Lineage: Eukaryota; Viridiplantae; Streptophyta; Magnoliopsida; Fabales; Fabaceae. The record is from RNAcentral.